This 5281-nucleotide unclassified non-coding RNA is filed under the name Limulus polyphemus (Atlantic horseshoe crab). Its description in RNAcentral is "nEDD8-conjugating enzyme UBE2F-like, transcript variant X1". The record is from RNAcentral. Lineage: Eukaryota; Metazoa; Arthropoda; Merostomata; Xiphosura; Limulidae.
UGUGGGUUUAUUCUCGUUACUGUUCGCAUCAGAUGGAUUACAAAUUAGAUUUUAUCAAAAUAUCAAUUAUGAUCACCUUAUCUAAAUUGAAAAAAGAAGCUGAAGAGAGAAAAGGAAAGAAUUCUCAUAAUGACAGUCUUAUUUCCAGACGCAGAGCUUCUGUUAGGGACAGACUGCUUGUUAAAGAAAUACAAGAAAUGGAGCUUACUUUGCCUGCUACCUGUAGAGUCAACUUUGAAAACCCAAAUGAACUACAUAAGUUUGAUUUGAAUGUAUCCCCAGAUGAAGGCUACUGGCAGGGUGGGAAAUUUCAUUUUACAAUUGACAUACCAGAAGAUUACAAUAUGGUGCCUCCCAUUGUCAAAUGUUUGACCAGGUUAUGGCAUCCUAAUAUUAAUGAAGGAGGGGAAAUCUGCCUUAGCCUACUACGUCAAAAUUCUAUUGAUGGAAUGGGGUGGGCUCCAACUCGAACACUCAAGGACGUUGUGUGGGGACUGAAUUCUCUUUUUACUGACUUACUCAAUUUUGAUGAUCCAUUAAAUAAUGAAGCUGCUGAACAUUACCAAACAGAUAAAUGGACAUUUGACAUCUUUAAUGCCAUCAGACCAUACAAGGGCAUCUGAAGAUGUUACUAAGUGCCCUUUCUGUUUGUCCACAAAUAGGCCAUGUUCCUGCAUUUGAUUUCCAGUUUUAGUGGAAUACUCAAUCACAGCAUUUUUUUUUUACCUUUUACCAUACUAGAGAAAGACAAACUGUAUAAAACAUGCUUCACUUUGGUGUCCCUCAUCUUAAAAAUCUCUCUAGAAUGAGAAGCUGUUAGUCAUUUUUUUCCUUUCUUAUUUCCGUAAAAUUGUUGUAUUGACCCUUUUUGUUCUUUUUGUAUUUCAGUUUUUUGUUCUUAUCUAACUUUUUUUAGCUGAUUGUCUCUUAGUUCUAGGAACUCUUGAGACUGUCUUUUCUGAUUCAGGUCUAUAAUCUUUCUUUCCAUUGUUGUAUGCAAGUAGAAGUUUCUUGACUUUCUAAUGAAUCUCUUUUUGCUUUGAGAGUUAGAAGUCUCUUGCAAACCCUCAUUCUUUGAGUUUGAGCUCUAGCUGUAUGUUUUUUUAAAAGAGUAAAUGGACAUUUUGUGGUGCUGGAUUUUCAGGCCAGACUAUAUGCCAUGAUUAUCCAAGUUGGAAAGCUAAACCUGCAGCAAAUCCUUGUUUAUUGUAAGAUCUUCAUUUUAAUCUACAAACCUGUUUGCCACCAAUAAACUCUAAUAUACAAGUCUCUGCUAAGUUACUUGUUCAAUUGCUUAUAUGAUGGCAUGCCUUUCUGACUAAUGCAUAAGCAAGUCAUUAUUUGGCUAAAGAUUUUAAGAGGUAUCAUAUUUAAAUAGUUUGUUGUGUUGUCAGUUAUUUUUGGAUGAGAACAGUAAUAUGAUUUGCACUUGUUAUGAUCACCAAAUGUAUGGUAGGGGGCAGUACUUGAGUAUCCUUUCAGUUCUUUCACAGUAUUACUGUUUUAUGCAUUCUGCCAAAUAAUUCCAUGACCAAAUGUUUUUAGUUUUGGUAUUCUAUCUUUUCUCAAGUGUUUGCUAUUUUCUUUUUCUUGUGCUAUUUGAAAUAAGGUUUUUAUAUACAGUCUUUCCAUCCAUAAACCAGAAAAAUAAAAUAAUUUUGGUUUAUAUGAUGUGUUUAUAAAAUAAAUUAAUAUUACAAAAUGAUUGUAUGAAAGCUUAGUUUACAUGCUAAAACAUUUGUUGUAAUUUACAAGGGUAAAAAUAAAAGCUUACAUUGUAAAACCAACUUCACUAGAGCAGUGUGGAAGUUGCACUGUUUGGGUUAUAGAUAAAUAAAAAGCUAUAAAUAAUGUAAUAUAAUUUCUGUUGUUUUUUUAAAUAUAAAGAAAAUUUAUAAAAUAUUAAUGAAACAUAUGCACAAUUACAAUUUGAACAUUUACCUUGUCAUCUUUUUCUUCACACUUUUGAAAAAUGUUGAAGCUCCAACAGAGUAUGUUCAUGAUAGAGCACGCUUGUACUAGUUAUACAUGUCCAGCAUCUGUAGCAGUGAAAUCCCAAACAACAGCAAUAUUGAUAUUGUGAUGUUCUUCUUAGGGUGUAUUGGCAGCUUAAAGCUUCAUAUUUUCACUAUAUACACAUUUGAACAUAAAUAUACUUUCCAGUCCUCGAAGAAGUUCAUGAUGAAAUAAAAAGUGCAUUGUUUUUGGGCAACUGAAUGAAUGAUAUAAUAACCUUUUUCACAUCUACAAUUAAAUGGGUAAUGUCAAUAAUUUGUCGUCCUUUAAGUUGUAUAAAGUGAUUUGCCAUUUUAAGAGCAAAUGAUAUAAAUAAGUGCACUAGACAACCAUGUAAAUUUGAGUCUAUUUAUCAUUGUUGUAUUUUAUCAUAACUUAAAGUUAUGAAAAAAAAUUGGACAUUAUGAAAAAAUUUUCAUUGUAAAACCAAAAUAUAAUAAUUCAUCUAGAUAUAAUGCAAAGUGGCAUUGUACAAAAGGUUUAGCAACUUGCCUGUAUAAUUUUGAUGUAGUAAAAAACACGUAUAAAGGUAAAGGAAAACCUUAAGUUCUAGAAUUUCUUUUAGAUGUGCAGUAGACCUUAAUAUCUUAAUAUUUUUUUAAACUUAUCUAGAAAAGGCUUCAAAAUUUUGCUAAUGAAACCUUUGCCUUUUACUUGCUGUGUGUAAUGCAUUUUUUGUAGUAAAGCUAUUGUUUUUUUCUUUUAAUAUUUAACAAUAAUCUUGUUAAUGAGGAAGAAAAGGGUAGUCUCUCUGACUUGAAGAAGAAUUGUUGGUGAUUGUAGGCCAAGAUGUUCAGAUCUUUGAUAACAUUUAAAAAUUAUUAGUUAUUAUAAUGUUUUCAUAGUUUAAAGUUUGAUUUAGUGGAAAGUUGAAAGCUAGAUUGACCUUUAUGAGCCAGGCAUAUAUCUAUCAGACAAAAAAAAACAACAGCCAACUCUUGUUUUCCCACAUGCCCAAAAAUCACAACUAAUACUGAGGUGAUUUUGUUUGUCUAUAUGUGUUUGGGGGUCUGUAUCUCCAAGCAGUUUAAUAUGAUGUUCUUGUGCUAUGCUUUUCCCAGUAACUUGUUGCAUGUAAGUUUACUGUACAAAGAACGAACCUGCAAAAGUAAAAUGACAUACUCAUUAGUGAAUAUUGUGCUAGGUUUGACAAACAAUUGUGUACUUGUUUUAAUCAAUUGGAACAAAUCAGCUAAUGGUUACAAUUUCAACCAGAUAGAUACCAUCUUUGGCCUAUAAAUGGACAACAUUUGAUAACAUUUUACUGUUUGAGGACGGGUUUAAGCUCAAAGUUAAAGACUAUAUUCAACGCUACGCCAAAAGGUGAAAAAAGAGUAGUUUAAAAUUUAGGAGUUUCAAAUUAUUAGCUGUGCAUCUCGCUCAUUCUGUUUCAUGUGUGAACAAAGCUGAUUUAAGCUAAAUUUGUAAGUUGUGAUGUGAUAUUGGUAAAAACAGUGAACUGACUCUUAACCACCGUGUUUCUCGGUAUUGAAAUCAGAGUAGAAGGAAAUGACUAAACCUACCACCAGCAUUUGUUAACAGGAUGUUCAAACAGACUUAUGUCCAAACUCAGAUUGUGAAUGGCUAUGUGUACAAACAUUUUGGAGCCUGACCUCUGUUAAUAUCUGUUUAUAGUGUAAAAUCUUUAAAUCUAGCAAACUUGAAAAGUUUGUAAUUUAGAAUUCUUUCAUGUUUUAUUUUUAUUGUUUUGAUCUUCUUACAUGGUUCAUCAAGUUUUUUUUCAUAAUGUGGUUGAUAAACUUUGAUAAUGUACCCAGUAGUCAGUACACUAAACCAUGUCAUUGUUCUUUCAGAAUGUAUGGGUAAUACUUGGUAGUCCAGUCAGCACUCAGUACAGCACUGCAACGUUAUUUCUGAAUCUUUGGACAGUUUAUACACGUAAUUCAGUCAGUAAAUAAACUACACCAGCAUUUUUUGCCAUAGAUAUUGUUUGAUAAUUAUUAAAUGAGGUGCCAUUACUGUUUUUUUUAACUGAUUCUGUAGACAGAGUGAAAAAAGCUUUUAUCAUUAAUUUCUGAUUAAGGCAAACUAACUAGAGAUAAGAACUAAACAUAACCAAGUAAUUAAUAUAGAUAUUUUAAUAUAUCAUUCUUACUUACAAUGAUUAGAAUGCAUGAAUUCAUCAGUUGGACACCUUCACUGUUAGUGACAUUUGCAGCCAUAUUACAAUACCAUGUUACAUUUAAACACACCACCUCAGGAAAUGAAAAAAAAAAUUUUUUAGUUACCAGCCUUCUUCAAGAAAGAGUCCAUUAAAAGAUAGAUAUGGUUAUAAAGGACGUUUGAAAACAUUGUGGAAAUGUACUUCAGUGAAUUAAGCAAGCAGAUGAGGGACAGAGAUAAAACAGCACUGUAGAUUAAAAAAUUGUGAUGAGUGCAUGAAAUGCACCUUUAGCAUUUGUCUUACUGAUGGAAAAUAACUAAAGAUAGUCAUACUCGCAACUUGGCAGAAGAACAAAAGGGGUAGUGGACCUAGAUUAAUGGUUUGUUGAAAAACUGGGUUAAAAUGCAGAAAAAUAAUUUUAAACUGAUAAAGAAAUUGUUUAAAAUGUUUAAAAGAUGGAAGAAGUAAAUAUAUGGUACAACAAAUGAUGAUAAUGUGGUUACUGUUUUGGGCCUAAACUCUUCUUUAAAAAACAUUUAAUCACAUAAACACAGAAUAGCUGUACGGUGUUUUGUAUAUAUAAAUGUGUCUAACGACAUUGUUGGAAAAAAAAAACAAUAUGAUGAUAACACUAAUCUAGGUAAAAUUAAAAGAAGUUUUUCAUUUAAGCCAUUAGGGGAUAAAGUUGUUCCUCAUAUUCUCUCAUUUGUUUGUUCUUUGGAGCAGAUUUUAGUACCACGACACAAUAUUAAAAUAUUGGGGAAUGGGUUUAUUCGAGUUAACAUCAGUUAUGUGAAUUGUUUGCUGACUAUGCAUCCAGUCUUUCCAAUUUAUAAAAUUUAACACAAGUCGCAGGUUAUUAAGCAUAUAGCCAACUAUGAUAUACAGGGGGGAGGUUGGAUUAAUAUAAUGUUUAUCCUUAGGCCCAACAAUCAGAAUACGGCUAUUGAUGCGAGCAAAAGUUGUACUAUGAGAUUGGCUGCAUGGAGAACAUUCAGGAGUAGUGUUGUCCUUGUUAGCAGAUAAAAUGAAAAGUUCAAGAAUAUUGUGGAGACAUACAUUUUGAGUGUAAGCAACAGUAGGUCUGUUAGGAAAAAUAUCCUUAAUUAUAGGGUUGUUCUAUCUAUAAAAUAUGAAAAA